Vanessa tameamea is the source of this 189-nucleotide long non-coding RNA. RefSeq lists it as uncharacterized. The record is from RefSeq and is a predicted model, not a curated record. The transcript is spliced from 3 exons. Lineage: Eukaryota; Metazoa; Arthropoda; Insecta; Lepidoptera; Nymphalidae.
GUCAAAGACCGACAUUUGUCGACAGUCGACACAAAAAAUAUUAAACUAUCACCAAAUUAUAGAAAUUAAUUGGACAAUUGUGAACUCGUGAUUUUAUAGAACAUAUAAAUUUUCUAUAUUUACCAGAAUUUGCUGUAACCGGUAAAGAUCAGCUCUCGGAGUUUCUUGAUUCCGUUCCUGAACAUUAUC